RNAcentral lists this long non-coding RNA (2860 nucleotides) under Equus asinus (donkey). Its description in RNAcentral is "lncRNA (ENSEASG00005035338.1)". Lineage: Eukaryota; Metazoa; Chordata; Mammalia; Perissodactyla; Equidae. The record is from RNAcentral.
GCGAGGCCAGGCUUGUUUUUGACAAAGACCAUGCUGGGGCCGCACUGAAGUCAGGACAGGAAGGCUGGUCAGGAAGAGAGUGAAAUGGCCUGAAGAGAGAGGACGAGGAUGGGAGAGUGACAGCGGGACAGAGGCGCCGGGACCUGAAGGAUCCUUCAGUGAACCCUCUCAGGACCCACCGCACCCGGUGUGCCACACGAGGCCGAUGUUUCACUAACCCACAUCGGGGGAGCCAAAUCGCCCCCUGCCUAGGGCCCCAGCCUCGAGAGGAAGCUGUCAUCACUGUUCCAGGACUCUCCUUGGAUUUGCAUUUCCUGACUUGGGUGAAAUACUCUUCCAGCGGAAGAACUGAAUCAAGAGUGUGUGAAUGCUUGACAUCUUUUUGGUGAGUGCAUCGUGGGCCCUGCCGAUGAAGGCUCCUCUCUCUGCUCAGUUCUGUAGGAACCAACCCUGCUUCUCGAGCAGGUUGUUUCCAUUAGUCGGUUGUCCAGCCCCUUCUGAGUGUCACUGCCCUCAUGCUGGCGAUACAGCAAGCUCCUGAAGAAGCACCUCUUCUCAAUUAAACAAGUCUUCCUCCUACCUUGGCACAGCUCUCUGAGCACGGAGGUCGGGCACGGGCACCCUGGCAGGGCCCACUCCUGUUGUUCAUGCUGCAGUGUCUGUUAGGUGCAAAGGUCAGGAUGACAUUGCAAAUGCAUGGGGAGAAAUUGUGUGGGAAAGGCGUUGUGUCAGACACCAGCUCUGGUUAACCUGAGAGAAGCCAUUUGUUGCACAGUUGAUAGAAUUUAAGGAAUAAAAAGAAACAGGUCUUCAGAAGAACAGAGUUCAACGUAGUUUCGAAGGAGUGGGAGCUAACAGCCAAUCCCUUUGAGGCUGCAGUCCAGUGUGUGUGCUCAGCUCCCCUCAAGGAUCACAUCCCUGCUGGCCUGGCUUGGGCUGGGGGCCCCAAAAGGAAGGGGACUUCGGCGACAGGCCACCAGGACUUCCUUCCUCUGAAGGGAAAGCGGGACCCUGCACCUUAGAGGAGGCGAGAGGGAAGCUGGGGAGCCACAACCCAUCACGAUUUAUCAGGCCUUCGGGAGGCGCACGCGUGUUCUUAUUUUUAUUUUGUAAAAAGUUUGCUGUUUGAACAAACUAACCAAAAAUAUUUUUGGGGCAAUAAGAUGAAUUUGAUUUGGAACUAAGCAUCAGACGAUAAGGAAUUAUUGUCAAUUUCAUAGGUGUGUAAUUGCUUUGUGACUAUGUGGAAAAAAUAAACAUCUUUUUUAGAUGUGUACUAAGGCACGUGAGCAUAAAGUCUUGGAUUUGCUUUGUGAUAUUUCCUCAAAAAAGUAAAAAAUGAAAACAAGAGUAGAUGAAACAAACCAGGCAAAAUCUAAUAAUUCUUAUUUUUGAAAAUGUUUAUUUUGAUUUUUGCAAGUCCUUAUUAGAGACACGCUGUGUGGCCUGUGUAUGAGCUGACUGGGUGCCAGAGGCACUGAUCUGGGGACGGUUGGGCAGGGCUAGUUCCCAGGACUCGCCGUCUGUUGUACGUGCUGACACACGCUCAACCUUAAGUGCUGCUCUGCGCGAGGCCAGCCAGCCAGCCAGCCAGUGCCCGGCUCUGCUCCCCUCAGCUCAGCGUGGAAUGGACGUGCGCAAGCGGGAGCUGCUUCCUGAGACAUCUGUCAUCAGGCAGCUCCUCUGGGCACUGGGGCUGCUGACGCUGCUUCCUCAGUUGCCUAACUCCGGACAGCAGCGAGAAAGCCAUUUGGGGAGGCUGACCCAGUUUAGAAUUCAAAUUCCCUUCCCUGCAUGUGCAAUUGGAAUUUAUUUCCUAUGCAAAAGGCAAGAAUCUCAGAGUAAAACACCUCUAGCUAGGCGUGGGUAUGUGAGCGCCGAUCCUGGUGAAAAAGGAUCUUGGUGUGUUUUCAUAAGGAUGCGCGCCUUGUGGUAUUCUCAGAACCUGACAUUAUCAAAAGUGUGUCAUCACGAUACAGUGCUGAAGCUAAGGCAAUUUGGAUGUCCUUGGGCCCAAAAUUAAUAUGUGCUUUGUAUAGUCUUGUAAUUUGGGAAGCAAUUUUCCAUAACACAGUGGGAGAUCUUCCUUUAUACAUCUGAGAUAAUUUAGCUCAAUGCUUAUUUGAAAAAAUUACUGCGCUAAUAGCAGCUCUUCAGCUUCAGAACAGCAGACCCUGUGGGGAGAACACAGAAGUCACUGAAAGUGAUUCUCCUGAGUCUGUCUGGGUUCGUCUGGACAAAAGCCGGCGGAAUUUCCCCCAGACCAACAGCUGCCUGAGAUUGUAUGGCAGGAUCCGAAAUAUUGUAUAAACUCAUGAACUCUAGCCGAUUUGCUUAAAGCCCAUAGCCCUGAAUGGAAGAAUAUUAAAUAAAGGUGGAGGAGUAAUGAAUUUCCCCAUUGUCCAGGUAAACUGGGAGUCAGUGCACAUGAGUUGGAAUUCCUGUAUGUUCAGCUAUGGGAACAAUUUGUUCUUCCUACUGGAUUUUUCUGCCCAAGCUACGAAGGAAGAGAUGUAAACAGCAGAAUAAAUUAUAUCUUUCUGCUGGGUGUGUUUUGCCUUGGGCUUCCUGGGUAUUAUGUACCAUCGGGGCAGAGGGUGGGGGACAAUCCUCUGCUCCAAUCAGAAUUUAAUACACUAAUAAAAAUAAAUUUAAAACAUUUUUUUCCCCAGUCAGGAAUGUAGUUUCUAAUGAUGCUGCUUUAGAACAAGUCCUAGGUGAGGCCCCGCAGACUCAAGUUCAAGUUUCUAGUUGCAUUCCUGCUCCUCGGCACUAUCAGCUUCCCACGGUGGCUCUGAAUAGUCAUUGCUGCUGUGGGUGUUCCCCACAUGGCAAGCACUGUGGACAUGAAGAUCAUAUU